GUUGGGCAUGGUAGGGCAUUCCUGUAAUCCCAGCAACUCAGGAGGCUGAGACAGGAGGAUCACAAGUUUGAGGCCAGCCUCAGCCACAUAGCAAGACCCAGUCUCAA
This 107-nucleotide small RNA is filed under the name Marmota monax (woodchuck). The record is from RNAcentral. Lineage: Eukaryota; Metazoa; Chordata; Mammalia; Rodentia; Sciuridae.